RNAcentral lists this ribosomal RNA (315 nucleotides) under uncultured bacterium. Its description in RNAcentral is "bacterial SSU rRNA". It matches the Rfam family "Bacterial small subunit ribosomal RNA", at positions 28 to 334 of the family's 1533-position model. The record is from RNAcentral.
GAUGAACGCUAGCUACAGGCUUAACACAUGCAAGUCGAGGGGCAGCGGGAUUGAAGCUUGCUUCAAUUGCCGGCGACCGGCGCACGGGUGAGUAACGCGUAUCCAACCUUCCGCUUACUCGGGGAUAGCCUUUCGAAAGAAAGAUUAAUACCCGAUGGUAUCUUAAGCACGCAUGAGAUUAAGAUUAAAGAUUUAUCGGUAAGCGAUGGGGAUGCGUUCCAUUAGGCAGUUGGCGGGGCAACGGCCCACCAAGGCGACGAUGCGUAGCCGGCCUGAGAGGGCGGACGGCCACACUGGGACUGAGACACGGCCCAG